AGAUACCUGGUAGUCCACGCUGUAAACGAUGUCUACUUGAAGGUUGUGGCCUUGAGCCGUGGCUUUCGGAGCUAACGCGUUAAGUAGACCGCCUGGGGGAGUACGGUCGCAAGAUUAAAACUCAAAUGAAUUGACGGGGGCCCGCACAAGCGGUGGAGCAUGUGGUUUAAUUCGAUGCAACGCGAAGAACCUUACCUACUCUUGACAUCCACAGAAGAGACCAGAGAUGGACUUGUGCCUUCGGGAACUGUGAGACAGGUGCUGCAUGGCUGUCGUCAGCUCGUGUUGUGAAAUGUUGGGUUAAGUCCCGCAACGAGCGCAACCCUUAUCCUUGUUUGCCAGCACGUAAUGGUGGGAACUCCAGGGAGACUGCCGGUGGUAAACCGGAGGAAGGUGGGGACGACGUCAAGUCAUCAUGGCCCUUACGAGUAGGGCUACACACGUGCUACAAUGGCGUAUACAGAGGGCUGCCAACCAGCGAUGGUGAGCGAAUCCCACAAAGUACGUCGU
This 510-nucleotide ribosomal RNA is filed under the name uncultured bacterium. Its description in RNAcentral is "bacterial SSU rRNA". It matches the Rfam family "Bacterial small subunit ribosomal RNA", at positions 780 to 1289 of the family's 1533-position model. The record is from RNAcentral.